GGAUGUUGUGGUGUUCGGCUAUGAGAGGAGAUGGCUGGUGCUGAGUGCAGCCAAGAGAAGGAAGUGGAUGGCUGCUGUGGUGAGGGAGACCGUGGGUCUGAGGAGACGGGGAACGGCUCUGUUGGAGGUGGAAGGAGAGCGGUUGCUGUUGUGAUCGGGUCUGUUCGUUGACCCGGAGAGGGAGGCCGAUGGGUCGGCUGAGAGAGGAGAGGAGUCUGGUGAGGGGAGGAGAUGGUCGUGUCUGUUGGCGUGCGGCUGGAGAUGGGCUGCUGCUGGCCGGUCUUCACUCCUCUUGGCAGAUCCGGCGGGUGUUGAUGCUGGUGCUGUUGCUGAGGGAAGGAAAUGCUGGAGGCGACUGUUCACGGUGGUUGUGAAGGGGGGAGUUGUGGUCGGGUCUGUAUGGGUCUAGGAGGGCAAAGGGAGCUGCUGAGAGGGAGGAUCUGUGGAGAGAAAAAGAGAGAAGGCAGUGUUUUGGGGCUGCUGGAGACGAUGGGGCAGGUUGAGGGAGAAGACAAAAAAAUCAAAAACAAGGGGGGGGGUGGCUCCAAGGCUGGCGGCCAGAAAUGAAGAAGAGGGACAGAUCAGGGGGGAGAGAAGGAAAAUGGAGAGGCUUUGGUCGGGUGUGUGUUGGUCUGUGAGGGGGAUAACAGUGGAGAGGGGAAGGAAACGGUAGAACCAGCCGGGUCAGCAAAAGGAAGGCCACCGGGGGGGGCUGUGUGCAGAGAAGAUAAAAUUUCUCUAGUGGGUGGCGGCGGCUGGGUGUGAAAGAGAUAGGUUUAGGGUUUCUCUUCCCUUUUUUUAUUUGUCAAAAUUGCCCCCCCCCUCUUGAAAAAAAUCAGUGUAGCUUGGUAUUUAUAGGAAAAGUUUUGCUAGGUUUUCAAACUAGUCCCUCAACUUUUCCUUUCCUUCUCUUUUCCUCUUUUUUUGUAAAUUUUGAUUUUUUUUUUUAUUUUUUUGUAUUUUUGAAAGCGAG
RNAcentral lists this long non-coding RNA (973 nucleotides) under Populus trichocarpa (black cottonwood). RNAcentral's name for it is "long non-coding RNA (PTRI_LNC001505)". The record is from RNAcentral. Lineage: Eukaryota; Viridiplantae; Streptophyta; Magnoliopsida; Malpighiales; Salicaceae.